GUUCUCUCUUGGCAGAGCAUAUUCUAAAACUGGAAUGAAAGGGAAAAGAUUAGUGUUGCACCUAUGCAAAGAUGCCAUGCAAAUUCAGGAAGCAUACUGUAGCUCA
Small nuclear RNA from Sceloporus undulatus (fence lizard), 106 nucleotides. NCBI's taxonomy places the organism in Eukaryota, Metazoa, Chordata, Lepidosauria, Squamata, Phrynosomatidae. The record is from RefSeq and is a predicted model, not a curated record.